RNAcentral lists this ribosomal RNA (497 nucleotides) under uncultured bacterium. Its description in RNAcentral is "partial 16S ribosomal RNA". It matches the Rfam family "Bacterial small subunit ribosomal RNA", at positions 28 to 507 of the family's 1533-position model. The record is from RNAcentral.
GAUGAACGCUGGCGGCGUGCCUAAUACAUGCAAGUCGAGCGAACAGACGAGGAGCUUGCUCCUCUGACGUUAGCGGCGGACGGGUGAGUAACACGUGGAUAACCUACCUAUAAGACUGGGAUAACUUCGGGAAACCGGAGCUACUACCGGCUAAUAUAUUGUACCGCAUGGUUCAAUAGUGAAAGACGGUUUUGCUGUCACUUAUAGAUGGAUCCGCGCCGCAUUAGCUAGUUGGUAAGGUAACGGCUUACCAAGGCAACGAUGCGUAGCUGACCUGAGAGGGUGAUCGGCCACACUGGAACUGAGACACGGUCCAGACUCCUACGGGAGGCAGCAGUAGGGAAUCUUCCGCAAUGGGCGAAAGCUUGACGGAGCAACGCCGCGUGAGUGAUGAAGGUCUUCGGAUCGUAAAACUCUGUUAUUAGGGAAGAACAAAUGUGUAAGUAACUAUGCACGUCUUGACGGUACCUAAACAGAAAGCCACGGCUAACUACGUG